GCAAAUGAUGACCUCUAGAGGACGCUACCAAUCUAUCCACUAAAUCUUAAUUUGGCGUAUAUUUCAGGCAUUGCCAGUAGAUGUCGUGUUCGCACUAAUAAGCGCAGCAGGUGUUCAAAUUGUAGUGGCCUGCAAAUGUUAGUGGAACGCAGCACUUUUGCGCAUGCCCCAAAAGUACCAACAAAGUUGACAUUAACCCUAGAGGUAAAAACGCAUGUCAUAUCUCCAUGAAUUGCCAUUUAAUCACUCUUUUGGUAAAAAUCAAAUAAAAUCGGCCUUUCAAGGCUAGAAUACCCAAAUGUAUUCUUGGUUUAUGUGGUAUUUCAAUAAUCAAUAGCCUAUAUACUCACCAGUAGAGCGAUCAGAAAAGACACACAAAUACUAAUUUUCUUAAUAAUAUUAAGACCCUUCGCUUCAAUCAUUUCGCUUUCUGAGCAAUUUACCAAAUCUUAAAAACACAGGGGUCAUGUCUCGCCAGGAAGGCUCUGAUUUACGUCACACCUGUCCGUCAUCACCGGCAGUAUAAAGGAUGAGGGUGCCGUACCGGUGUUGAUAUCUCAUUUGCACAGAGACUGACUGGUGAGUGCGGCUCUUUUUUCACCCCUCUGCAACGGCUAGCCAAAUAAAGAGGAGCAUCGCAAAAUGUCUGGAGUAACUGUCUGCCAACUCGGAGUGUUUCUCCUCUUUCUGUGUUUGUCAGCACAGGUCGUCGCGCAGACGACACCUACGGAGAUGCCGGUGGCUACAACUACCAACUAUACUAUGACUAUGAACGCCUCUGCCGUCACACACAGUUACACCAACGUGACCACGCCUAAAUCUGCCGUGAGCCCACUAAACCCAACCGGCGUGUCCCUGCUCCUUAUCGUCGCCAUGGUUACGUCUAUGCUGCAACGUUUCUUGUAAUGUCACACUUUCUACGUCCCCGCGCACACCUUUCGUAAAACAGAAGAUGCAAUAUUGUACUGAAACUCAGCUGCAAAUUCCUGAAGUUGGUUCAUUAAGGUCGACGAAGUUGCUUAUAAACGGACUCCGGACUCCCGAAUAUAAAUUGAAGGAUCUCUCCCCUGACUUGGACUACGGUCUACACCAUAGGGAUGGGCGCAAGUCAUUUGUUUUGGGCCGGUUUUCAAAUGUUUUUGCCGUUUUUGGAAACUGUUGGUAAAUGCUUAAAGUUUCGUUUGUUCCAAAGCUGUCAGUCGUGCUUGUGGGGGCUUUUCUGCUGUAAAAAAAAAAAAGGCUGUGAGUGUGCCACUGCUUUACAUGUGGGAGGGGCUGAGGGUAUGCUUCUUUGUAAACAAUAGUUUAUAUUUUGUACGAAAUGCAAAACUUGUUUUAAUUGUUAGUUGGAUUAAAAGAAGUUGUAAUUAGAAUGGUCAAUAAAUGGAAGGAAAAAUAUUUGUGUCUGGUCUGAGUUGGAUGGGUUGGGUUGUAAAGGAAAAGCACCCGUUGGUUAGCUUCAGUAUAUUUUUCCAUGUUCCAUCGUAGUGAUUGAACUAUCAAG
Molecule: long non-coding RNA, 1504 nt
Organism: Clupea harengus (Atlantic herring)
Lineage: Eukaryota; Metazoa; Chordata; Actinopteri; Clupeiformes; Clupeidae
Source: Ensembl